Long non-coding RNA from Cephus cinctus (wheat stem sawfly), 5272 nucleotides. RefSeq lists it as uncharacterized. Lineage: Eukaryota; Metazoa; Arthropoda; Insecta; Hymenoptera; Cephidae. The record is from RefSeq and is a predicted model, not a curated record. The transcript has 4 exons.
AUAUGCAUCUGUAUCAAGUAUACGUAUCGAGUGUCAUGUAAAAGCAGAGCGUGAGUCUCCUCCCUCAUAUAUUUAUAUUCCAAGGGUAUCCCGUUUCCCCACGUUACGCGGCGGCACAUGAUAUAAUAAUGGGGCCAAACUAACCUACCCCAAUAGGAAAGGAGCUUCGAAACGGAGGGUCGUAAACUCCCUUGGUCCCGGUCCUCCCUCGACUCACCCCGAGAAGGAUGAGGGUGAAGCUGAGCGAGGGUGAGGAGUCGUCCCAACACCCUAUCAGACAACCCUAACCUAUCCCACGACUGAGUGACGUGGUGAGAGAGGUAGAAUCUGUGGCGUCGCUGCUGUAUCCACUUUCAGCAGCUUGAUGAAGUAGAGCUGGCAUCUUGUCUAUAUAGACAGAUACCCUUCGACGUCGAAGUCCAGAAAAGCUAAAGAGUGGAUAUCGACCUUUCAAAGAGACACACUAACUUUCGGACGUACACAAAAUUACCUAACUAGGAGUCUGAGGUACGUAAGGGCUGAAGGAUGAGGAGACAUAAAACUCAAGGAUGGGUUAUCUAAAGAAAAUCCGUACCCGCCGCAAGGAACUCCUACCCUUUUUACAAGCGACCUUAAUUUUACUCGGCAAAUUAGAUUGGCGAAAGAUUCGAUUUGAAUUUUAAUCCCGUUCGAAGUCAGAACGGAAGGUGAAAGAGGCUGCGCGCGAAAAGGGAAAGAAAAAGAAAUAAAGGAAAGCAGAGAGGAGAAAGUAAGAGGUAAAUUAUCAAAGAAUAUUUUCUACAGAAAAGCGGAAGCAAGUCCCGACAGCACCUUUAACCUUUUCCAACCGUCCAACCCGAUGCGACCAUCUUGACCCGUCCUAUCUUUUACGCUUCGGCGUACCCUAGUCUUCUUUUAGAGCGUCGUGACGUAACAACGUCUCACACACGGCCAAGAGAUACGACGUAAUACUUACCAGCACAAGGACAGCAACGCGUACCUUGAAACCUCGAGUACGUCCACCACCACCACCACCAUCUUCCAGGGUCUUCCACGUCUCCACAUGCUCACCGUAGCUUCACCAGCCGUCCAAUGUGUAACGUAGUGCGAGGAUGAGACCGACGCCGACGUCGCACUUCUAACACACGUAUACUCAUCACACAGCCAGAAGCGUCUACUUCGCUGACACCGUCGCUCAGCCCGUCAAUACACUUUGCCGAGGAGAUGUUCCACCAAGUUGGCUGCCUGGCUCCUCUCGUGGACAUGCUUCAUAUCCUUUGGGCCUUUGGGCAAUGAACGCUGCUACCACUGAAGUUCUGUUUUAGUGUGCGACCAGACAUAUUGGUUCUGCCAGGAUGCUUAGAACAUAGCAGCUGUCAACCUACUUGUACCUGGGUAAAAUACGUACCUUCGGGGUAGACGUCUUUGUAGCUUGGAAGGAACCCUCGUACGAAGUGCUAGGAGAAGGCUUUAAGGUUGGUACUUGUUACUUCUGUUAUUCCUGGAGUGAUUGACAUAGAGACCACCUGACGCUACCAGAAAUACUGUCGAUGUUCACUUAGGACUCAUCUAGUGCUACCUGGUGCUUGUAAACGUGACUCCACGAUACGAUACCAACGUGCAAGGUUCUACCUAUGGUUUAACGUAUCAUGACUGUAACAAGGAGCGUAUAAAUCCCCUGCGAUACCGCAGAUCGCAUCUAGACGGUCAAGGAUGAUGGUGAGGAAGGAUUGUAGCUGACAGGUGGACCUGGGAGAUUCCGGGAUGGAAUGAUUUUUCUUCUAGGAUAUUGUAAAAAUAAUUUUUUAAUGGCUGAAGGACAACGAUUACAUAAAUAGGGUUAUAUCAUCUUUUUUAUAAGAAUAUUUAUGCUUUGGAUUAUCAUUAUUUUUAAUUGUACAUAAACGAGGUUUUUACUUUUCUUUCGUUCAUCUUUGGUUCCCGGACCGUUCUGGUUGGAUGCUUCACCUCAGGAAAGUUUCCAGCUAGUCUGCAUAAACAUCACGAGCAAAAGUGAGAGUGGUAACGUCAGCCGAGUUAAGUUUCAGCUCUAAAAAGGACAAUGCCAGGAUAAUAACGCUGUAGGAAACUUCGUGCUGUAAGAAACCAGCUAUACCAUAGGUAAAUUUAAUUAAUCUUUCAUCUCCAUAGAAAUAGGAGACUCCUAUUUAAUCGCAUAAAAAAAUAAUAAUAUGCAUUACGUACAAAUAUACGUUAUCCUUAUUGAUAUUUCAGAAUAUACAUUAAUCAUUUCAAGAAAGUAAUGUAUACAUAUAAAUUCCCUACUGGUGUGAUGGAACGGAUCUAUAUUUUUCGUCGGGUAGCAACGGACCUUUAUCCUGGAGACUCAUCUUCCUAAUCUAGGAGAAAGGCGUAGUGCCAUCGAUACCAGUGGAAAGUCCUGGUUGCAAGCGGGCACUGGGUGCAACCAGGAGUGGGCACUUUUUUCCCGUUGAGAGAUAGGGUCUUCUGGGUGUGUAAACCCUGUUACUUAUGGAGGCCAUUCCGGUCUGCGGGCUCGGCGGCCUCCGGCUGAGGGGUUUUAAGGACUUAGCUCGACAUUAGCGUCCCAGGGGCGAGUUGCACCAGCAGCAAGGGGGAUCGGUACCGGCUGGAUAGGGCCACAAGGGUUGAGUGGGUUCAGAAGGUUCGCAGGAGACCGUCCCAGAGAAGGGGUCGAGGGCCAGAGAGUUCUGGGUACAGAUGGGAGGACCAGAAAGGGGGAUGUGGGAUGGAUGUGCGGCGAUUUGGUUUCCAAUCAUGGGACGACGGGACGCGCCUCUAUCGAGCGAGCAGGGCUCCGGCCAUCCAAACCCAUCCCCUAUUCUAUCCCCUAACCCCUACCUCAUCCUAGCCCAUCCCGACCCAUCCUACGGCGUCCUACCUCAUCCUCCUUUGCUUCGAGCCAUGUCAGUGCUGGUGCAAACCAACCCAACCCAAACUCUCCUUCGCCUGCACCUCCAAGUCUCAACGAACCACCACCCACUUUCAACCCUAGGCCACCCUCGACCACCCUUGCUCUGGCUCCUCCACCGCUACUGCCGACGUCGUCGACGACGACGACGAAGACGAUGGCGACGCCAUCCCUGUAGCCUCCUCCACCAUCUAGUGCACACACACUUCUGGACCCUCGAUGUCGUCCGCACUUUCCCGCAGCAGUCCCCAACCUAGGCCAAUCUGCAACCCUUCCGGUCUUUAAUUAUUGCGGGUCUGCUACCCUCCCCCUGCACGUUUUAUCCCUUUGGUAUCUCUUCUUUCCACACUCGAAAAUUUCUAAUCACGAUCUUCUGAUACAAUUUUUUUUUUUUUUUUCUUACUUUCAUUUACAUGGUACAGUACGAUGACUGAUAUGCGACGCUUUAUAUUUUCCUAUAUAUAUAUACAGUAGCUUACCGUUUGAGGACAUUAUAAGAUAAAAAGAAUGACGGUUAACUUAGUGCUUGGCUUACCACUCUCAACUUAUUUCCUAUGAACUUUAGUAAAGUAACUUCGCUUCCGGCCCUCCUGUCCUCCUAGGAUUCUUGAUGUCUUCCAGUACGGAAGGAUCCUCACAAAAUGAUCCCUGAUUCAAGCGCUGAGAAGCAUUCUAAUGUCCCAGAGAAAUUCAGUGAAAUCAUAGCCAGACGAAAGAGCACGACCCUUCGCAAAGAUGUUUCGCGCACUUCCUUCCUGAGUCCCCGUUUCGUAUCGACGUCCCAUGACAGCGUGAUCUCUCGAGAAAUAUUUCUGCUUCUUAUUUACAUCCAGAUGGAACCUAAGAUCCGAAUACUCCUAUACCGGAGUAUUUUAUCGAACGCCAGUUUGACCCAGAGACACGAGUACGACGGCAAGUGCAUACGUACACAAUAUACUCUCGUAAACGGAACUUCCCUUAUUUACACGCUCUCAUUGUUUACAAGUUGACUGAGGGUGGGCCCGGGAUGGAAAGAGGGUCGUUGCAAGUGUUUUUCACCGACCGUCACAAAACGCAUCCCCUGAACUCGCUGAAUCCUCUGAACUUAUUCCCCCGUCACCCCUCUGUCCUUCGUACCACCAUUUAUGAUUCUUCAAUUAACUCCAUUCGCCCUGUUCUUUACCCACUUACACGUAUUCACCUAUAUUUCUGAAAAGCAGCUCAACCACCCAUGGCUCCAACCCCAAUGCCAAAUAUAGGUACAAGAGUUUCCUACCGUACCCCUUCCUGCUGGAACUCUGUCUAAAUAUAUUAUAAAAGUUUACUCCCAGAUACCGGAUAUCCGGGAACGUGUGAAAUAAAUACGACCUCAAGUAAAUCGUGACGUAAUAUCAGGACCAAGAUCGUAAAAGCAUUUUAUGCUUGAUCCACAGUGUCUAACUGCGCAAGACCCUUCAUUUCAAUGAACAAUACCCCCCGCAAAGAUGCCCUUAAUACCCGUCCCUGAGUCAGCUCCAGGGUAGCACUCGACUACAGGGCGCUGCAGUUGUCGCAAAGUGCGUAGGGGUUGAGCACCCGUUUGAUGCCCUACAUAGCGGAGACUGUUGGAGGCCGUGGGGGGGUGUUCGGAGGGUGGCUGGGCAGGGACGAAAGUGGGCGUCCGGGAGUGGGUGGCGGGGGGAUGAAAAGCGGUAGGCAACGUAGGAUGAGGUUGAGGAGGAGGUGGUGGCUCGACAGCGGGGCGGUGGGGUGGCUCUUUGGGGCUCUGAAAAUGCAGCGUAAUUUGUCUUUGUCUGGUGGAGGCGAGCGCCGGCGGUAAGGCCGAGGGGUAGGUAUAGGUUGUGCCGAAGGGUGAGUACGAGGAUGAGGUUGAGCAUGAAGGGUGCGGGGCCAGGAGGUGGUACAGAGUUCGGCCGUGGGAAGGUGGCGGAGAACCUCGGAGAAGCCGGAAGGUAUGGAGGCGCUGGAAGAGUGAGCUCGAGGUUGUGGGUGGAUGUGGAGGAGGAAGAGGUUGGUCGAGGUGGAGAAGGAAGGUGCGCUAGGCUAGGGGGAGAUUCCGUGCUUGACCCGCCUGGGAUCGAUGCGUUCGUCUGCCAGAACGCCGAGCCGAGACGCCCGCGUCCUUCCUUCUCCUCUGCUUCGUCUGCCUUUCCCCGACGAAGCUGCCUCCGUCGCCUCCAACGUCGCUCGUCGGCGCAACGCACACGCCGUUAACCGCACUGCAACGCGUUGCACGCUAUACCGUCUCAGUACGGUUACCACUACCAGGAUACCCUUGACGACCACCAGCACGAACACCGGAGCACCACCACCAUCAUCGGGAGCAGCAUCGUCAGGAACUACCAUCCGCCACUGCUACGAACGCACGGUACUACCACUUCUACUGGUAUUACUCGCUAG